AGCGGGGUGAUCUACCCAUGGCCAGUGUGAAGCAGCAGUAAGAUGCUGUGGAGGCGCGAACCCACGUAGGUUGAAAACUGCGGGGAUGAGCUGUGGGUAGGGGUGAAAGGCCAAUCAAACUCCGUGAUAGCUGGUUCUCCCCGAAAUGCAUUUAGGUGCAGCGUCGCAUUAGCUUGGUGGAGGUAGAGCUACUGGUUGGUUGAGCGGGACUACAAUCUUAGCAAUGUCAGCCAAACUCCGAAUGCCAUUAAUGUGUUGUGCGGCAGUGAGACUGUGGGGGAUAAGCUUCAUAGUCGAGAGGGAAACAGCCCAGAUCGCCGGUUAAGGCCCCUAAGGGUGUGCUAAGUGGAAAAGGAUGUGGGAUCGCGAAGACAGCCAGGAGGUUGGCUUAGAAGCAGCCAUCCUUGAAAGAGUGCGUAAUAGCUCACUGGUCGAGUGGUUCUGCGCCGACAAUGUAGUGGGGCUCAAGCACACCGCCGAAGCCGCGGCAAUAAUAUUUUGUUAUUGGGUAGGGGAGCGUCGUGCACGUGUUGAAGCGUUACCGUGAGGAGGCGUGGAGUGUGUGCGAGUGAGAAUGCAGGCAUGAGUAACGAAUUGGAAGGUGAGAAUCCUUCCCGCCGGAUGACUAAGGGUUCCUGGGUCAAGUUCGUCUUCCCAGGGUGAGUCGGGACCUAAGGCGAGGCCGACAGGCGUAGUCGAUGGAUAACCAGUUGAUAUUCUGGUACCCGAGUAUAUGCGCCCCUGAUAAAGCACUGAUACUAACCACCGUAAGCUGUUGUGAUUGGCCUUCGGGUUAACAUGGUGGCAAGCCGUGGGGCCUGAUGUGUGGUUCAAGCGAUGGGGUGACACAGUGGGGUAGCCAUGCCGCUUAGUGGAUUGUUGGUGUAAGCGUGUAGGUGAUGGUGUAGGUAAAUCCGCACUUGUUAGCUGAGACGUGAUGCGUAGCCUUAAUUGGUGAAGUUGGUGAUCCCGUGCUGUCGAGAAAAGCCUCUAGCGAUGUAUAUACUCGGCCCGUACCCCAAACCGACACAGGUAGUCAGGUUGAAAAUACUAAGGCGUUCGGGUGAACUGUGGUUAAGGAACUCGGCAAAAUGCCCCCGUAACUUCGGGAGAAGGGGGACCCUAUGGCGUUAACACCCAUUUGCGGUGGGAAGCGUUGUGGGGUCGCAGAGAAUAGAGGGAAGCGACUGUUUAUCAAAAACACAGGUCCAUGCGAAGACGUUAAGUUGAUGUAUAUGGACUGACGCCUGCCCGGUGCUGGAAGGUUAAGAGGACCGGUUAAUCAAGCUUUGCUUGGUGAAGCUGAGAAUUUAAGCCCCAGUAAACGGCGGUGGUAACUAUAACCAUCCUAAGGUAGCGAAAUUCCUUGUCGGGUAAGUUCCGACCUGCACGAAUGGCGUAACGACUUCCCUGCUGUCUCAACCACAGGCCCGGUGAAAUUGCACUACGAGUAAAGAUGCUCGUUACGCGCGGCAGGACGAAAAGACCCCGGGACCUUCACUAUAGCUUGGUAUUGGUGUUCGGUUCGGUUUGUGUAGGAUAGGUGGGAGACUAUGAAACAUGCACGCCAGUGUGUGUGGAGUCGUUGUUGAAAUACCACUCUGAUCGGAUUGGAUACCUUAACCUUGGCCCAUGAUCUGGGUUGGGGACAGUGCCUGGUGGGUAGUUUAACUGGGGCGGUUGCCUCCCAAAAUGUAACGGAGGCGCCCAAAGGUUCCCUCAGCCUGGUUGGCAAUCAGGUGGUGAGUGUAAGUGCACAAGGGAGCUUGACUGUGAGAGUGACAGCUCGAACAGGGACGAAAGUCGGGACUAGUGAUCCGGCACCUACUUGUGGAUGUGGUGUCGCUCAACGGAUAAAAGGUACCCCGGGGAUAACAGGCUGAUCUUCCCCAAGAGUCCAUAUCGACGGGAUGGUUUGGCACCUCGAUGUCGGCUCGUCGCAUCCUGGGGCUGGAGUAGGUCCCAAGGGUUGGGCUGUUCGCCCAUUAAAGCGGCACGCGAGCUGGGUUCAGAACGUCGUGAGACAGUUCGGUCUCUAUCCGCCGCGCGCGUUGAAACUUGAAGAAGGCUGUCCCUAGUACGAGAGGACCGGGACGGACGUACCUCUAG
RNAcentral lists this ribosomal RNA (2109 nucleotides) under Corynebacterium striatum. RNAcentral describes it as "partial 23S ribosomal RNA". It matches the Rfam family "Bacterial large subunit ribosomal RNA", at positions 719 to 2712 of the family's 2925-position model. The record is from RNAcentral. Lineage: Bacteria; Bacillati; Actinomycetota; Actinomycetes; Mycobacteriales; Corynebacteriaceae.